GUGCUUGCUUUGACAGCACAUAUACUAAAAUAGAAAUGAUACAGAAAAGAUUAGCAUGGCCCCUGUGCAAGGAUGGCACACAAAUUUGUGAAGCAUUCCAUACUUUU
Molecule: small nuclear RNA, 107 nt
Filed under: Phocoena sinus (vaquita)
Lineage: Eukaryota; Metazoa; Chordata; Mammalia; Artiodactyla; Phocoenidae
Source: RNAcentral